Molecule: ribosomal RNA, 253 nt
Filed under: uncultured bacterium
Lineage: Bacteria
Description: partial 16S ribosomal RNA
Rfam family: Bacterial small subunit ribosomal RNA
Source: RNAcentral
UACGAAGGGGGCUAGCGUUGCUCGGAAUUACUGGGCGUAAAGCGCACGUAGGCGGCUUCUUAAGUCGGAGGUGAAAUCCUGGAGCUCAACUCCAGAACUGCCUUUGAUACUGAAGAUCUUGAGUUCGGGAGAGGUGAGUGGAACUGCGAGUGUAGAGGUGAAAUUCGUAGAUAUUCGCAAGAACACCAGUGGCGAAGGCGGCUCACUGGCCCGAUACUGACGCUGAGGCACGAAAGCGUGGGGAGCAAACAGG